This 253-nucleotide ribosomal RNA is filed under the name uncultured bacterium. RNAcentral describes it as "partial 16S ribosomal RNA". It matches the Rfam family "Bacterial small subunit ribosomal RNA", at positions 524 to 776 of the family's 1533-position model. The record is from RNAcentral.
UACGUAGGGUGCAAGCGUUAAUCGGAAUUACUGGGCGUAAAGCGUGCGCAGGCGGUUGUGCAAGCCAGAUGUGAAAUCCCCGGGCUCAACCUGGGAACUGCAUUUGUGACUGCAUCGCUGGAGUACGGCAGAGGGGGAUGGAAUUCCGCGUGUAGCAGUGAAAUGCGUAGAUAUGCGGAGGAACACCGAUGGCGAAGGCAAUCCCCUGGGCCUGUACUGACGCUCAUGCACGAAAGCGUGGGGAGCAAACAGG